Molecule: ribosomal RNA, 2432 nt
Filed under: Chloroflexota bacterium
Lineage: Bacteria; Bacillati; Chloroflexota
Description: Chloroflexi bacterium (anaerobic digester metagenome) partial 23S ribosomal RNA
Rfam family: Bacterial large subunit ribosomal RNA
Source: RNAcentral
AUUAAAGCGAGUAAAGGGCGUACGGUGGAUGCCUAGGCGCAAAAGACCGAUGAAGGACGUAGUAGGCUGCGAUAAGCCUCGGGGAGCUGUCAAACGAGCUUCGAUCCGGGGAUUUCCGAAUGGGAUAACCCAGCUGGAGUUAUGUCCAGUUACCUUAUAGUAAAUUCAUAGCUGUAAGGAGGGUACGCAGAGAAGUGAAACCUCUUAGUAUCUGCAGGAAAAGAAAACAAUAGUUUAUUCCCUUAGUAGUGGCGAGCGAAACGGGAAGAGCCUAAACUUAUACUGUGUAAGAAGGAUCUGAUUUGUGAUUCGCGUUGCGAUGAGCGAUGAGGAGAAUUCGCAGGUUACCGCUCGUGCAGUAUGAGUGUUGUAAGAGUUAGGAGACCAGGCGGUAGACUGGUCGGGAAGUUAAAAAUUUUCUCAUUAACAGAACAUAUCUGGAAAGAUAGACCAAAGAGUUGUGAAAGUCACGUAUGUAAAAAUGAGAGAACUUCUUUCUAAUUUCUUAAGUACCACGGGACACGAGAAACCCUGUGGGAAGCUGCCAAGACCACUUGGCAAGGCUAAAUAUUUUUUGCGACCGAUAGUGGACAAGUGCCGUGAGGGAAAGGUGAAAAGAACCCCUGUUAGGGGAGUGAAAUAGUAACUGAAACCGUAUGCUUACAAACAGUCGAAGCUGGUAUAUCCAGUGACGGCGUGCCUAUUGAAGAAUGACUCAGCGAGUUCGUUGUGUGCGGCAAGGUUAACCAUGUUUAUUGGGGAGCCGAAGCGAAAGCGAGUAUGAAUAGUGCGAUUUAAGUCGCAUGCACGAGACCCGAAACCAAGUGAUCUAACCAUGAACAGGGUGAAAUUUUGAGAAAUCAUUAUGAAGGCCCGAACUCUUUAGAGUUACAAAUCUAUGAGAUGAUUCAAGGUUAGCGGUAACAUGCCAAACGAACUUGGUGAUAGCUGGUUCUCCCCGAAAUAGCUUUUGGGCUAGCGUCAUAUUUUAAAUCAUGGGGGUAGAGCACUGAUUAGAUCUGAGGCUCGAAAGAGUACUCAAUCUACUCAAACUCCGAAUACCGUGAUGAACAAUAUGGCAGUUAGAGUCAGGGAUCUAAGUUCCUGCGCUCGAGAGGGAAACAGCCCAUAUCGUCAGAUAAGGACCCUAAAUUCUACCUAAGUGGGAAAGGAGGUGGAUUUUCUCAGACAGCUAGGAGGUUGGCUCAGAGGCAGCCAUCCUUUAAAAAGUGCGUAAAAGCUUACUAGUCAAGAGAUUCUGCACUUAAAAUUCAACGGGGCUAAGGUAGAUUCCGAAGCUGCGAUUCUUUUAGUAUUUUUAUACUAGUGGGAGGUAGGGGAGCGUUUUAUACAUGACCGAUUAGCACUCGGUCCAACGCUGUGAAGGUGACCCGUGAGGAGUUGCUGGAGCGUAUAAAAGUGAGAAUGCUGAGAUGAGUAACGUAAAACAGGUGAAAACCCUGUUCGCCGUAUAUCUAAGGUUUCCAUGGCUAUGUCAGUCAACCAUGGGUUAGUCGGUCCUAAGGAGAGGCUGAAAAGCAUAUCCGAUGGACAACAGGUUAAUAUUCCUGUACCGCUGAUACUUGCGAUGGAGUGUGGGAAAUGAAAAGGCAGGCCCCUAAUUGGUUUGGGGUAUAAACAAUGAGGUAGUUCAUUUUGGAAAAUCCGGAUGAAUGCUUCCACUUCGGUGGAUAUAAUCAAGUUGUGAUUUAAAGGUGACCUUCGGGAAUCCAAUCUGUCAGACUAUUUCUCCUGGAAAAACUUCUAGCUCUAAAAACUUCGGUUUUUAGUAUUUGUAUCUGCGACCGUACUGCAAUCCGACACCGGUGGAUUGGUGUAAAUGCACCAAGGCGUACGAGUGAGGCGUUGUCAAGGAAUUCGGCAAGUUGACCCCGUAAGUUCGCGAGAAGGGGGACCUUCCAUUAUAAGUUUUUAAUUUGUAAUGAUGAAGGUGGCACAGAAUAGGGAAGAACGACUAGUUAACAAAACUACAGGUGCUUGCAAACUCGUAAGAGGAUGUAUAAGUGCUGACGCCUGCCCAAUGCCAGAAGGUUAAAGGAGCCUGUGAUCUGUCUGCUGAAUGCACUUCGGUGCUUCAGUGGUGGUGAAGCGGGUAACCAAAGCCCUGGUCAAUGGCGGCUGUAACUAUAACGGUCCUAAGGUAGCGUAAUACCUCGUCACUUAAUUAGUGACUUGCAUGAAAGGCGUAACGAUUCUUCCUCUGUCUCGACAGCGCGCUCGGUGAAAUUGAAAUGGCUGUGAAGAUGCGGCCUACCCAUACCAGGACAAAAAGACCCCGUGGAGCUUUACUGCAGCUUUGUAUUGGAAUAAGGCUUCAGAUGUAGAGAAUAGGAGGGAGACUGUGAAGCCGAUCCGUCAGGAUUGGUGGAGUCAUCAGUGUAAUACCUCUCUUUUGGUGUUUUAUUUCUAAC